RNAcentral lists this ribosomal RNA (460 nucleotides) under uncultured bacterium. RNAcentral describes it as "partial 16S ribosomal RNA". It matches the Rfam family "Bacterial small subunit ribosomal RNA", at positions 338 to 795 of the family's 1533-position model. The record is from RNAcentral.
CCUACGGUGGGCAGCAGUGAGGAAUAUUGGUCAAUGGGCGCGAGCCUGAACCAGCCAAGUAGCGUGAAGGAUGACUGCCCUACGGGUUGUAAACUUCUUUUAUAAAGGAAUAAAGUGAGGCACGUGUGCCUUUUUGUAUGUACUUUAUGAAUAAGGAUCGGCUAACUCCGUGCCAGCAGCCGCGGUAAUACGGAGGAUUCAAGCAUUAUCCGGAUUUAUUGGGUUUAAAGGGUGCGUAGGCGGUCGGAUAAGUUAGAGGUGAAAUCCCGAGGCUCAACUUCGGAAUUGCCUCUGAUACUGUUCGGCUAGAGAGUAGUUGCGGUAGGCGGAAUUCGUGGUGUAGCGGUGAAAUGCUUAGAUAUCACGAAGAACUCCGAUUGCGAAGGCAGCUUACUAAACUGCCACUGACAUUGAUGCUCGAAAGUGUGGGUAUCAAACAGGAUUAGAUACCCCUGUAGUC